Molecule: ribosomal RNA, 500 nt
Filed under: uncultured bacterium
Lineage: Bacteria
Description: partial 16S ribosomal RNA
Rfam family: Bacterial small subunit ribosomal RNA
Source: RNAcentral
AUUGAACGCUGGCGGCAUGCCUUACACAUGCAAGCCGAACGGCAGCACGGGAGCAAUCCUGGUGGCGAGUGGCGAACGGGUGAGUAAUAUAUCGGAACGUGCCCAGUCGUGGGGGAUAACGUAGCGAAAGCUACGCUAAUACCGCAUACGAUCUAUGGAUGAAAGCGGGGGAUCGCAAGACCUCGCGCGAUUGGAGCGGCCGAUAUCAGAUUAGGUAGUUGGUGAGGUAAAGGCUAACCAAGCCGACGAUCUGUAGCUGGUCUGAGAGGACGACCAGCCACACUGGGACUGAGACACGGCCCAGACUCCUACGGGAGGCAGCAGUGGGGAAUUUUGGACAAUGGGCGCAAGCCUGAUCCAGCAAUGCCGCGUGCAGGAUGAAGGCCUUCGGGUUGUAAACUGCUUUUGUACGGAACGAAACGGCGAGCUCUAAUACAGUUUGCUAAUGACGGUACCGUAAGAAUAAGCACCGGCUAACUACGUGCCAGCAGCCGCCGUAA